GUCUACGGCCAUGCCACUCUGAAUGUGCCUGAUGUCGUCUGACCUCAGAAACUAAGCAGGGUCGGGCCUGGUUAGUACUUGGAUGGGAGACCACCUAGGAAGACCAGGUGCUGUAGGCG
RNAcentral lists this ribosomal RNA (119 nucleotides) under Pteropus alecto (black flying fox). The record is from RNAcentral. Lineage: Eukaryota; Metazoa; Chordata; Mammalia; Chiroptera; Pteropodidae.